RNAcentral lists this ribosomal RNA (506 nucleotides) under uncultured bacterium. Its description in RNAcentral is "partial 16S ribosomal RNA". It matches the Rfam family "Bacterial small subunit ribosomal RNA", at positions 28 to 523 of the family's 1533-position model. The record is from RNAcentral.
GAUGAACGCUAGCUACAGGCUUAACACAUGCAAGUCGAGGGGUAACAAGGGGAAAGCUUGCUUUCCUUGUUGACGACCGGCGCACGGGUGAGUAACGCGUAUCCAACCUGCCUAUAACUAGGGAAUAACCUUGCGAAAGUAAGACUAAUACCCUAUGAUUUCCUUUGAUGACAUCAGAUUAGGAAUAAAGAUUUAUCGGUUAUAGAUGGGGAUGCGUCUGAUUAGCUUGUUGGCGGGGUAACGGCCCACCAAGGCAACGAUCAGUAGGGGUUCGGAGAGGAAGGUCCCCCACAUUGGAACUGGGACACGGUCCAAACUCCUACGGGAGGCAGCAGUGAGGAUUAUUGGUCAAUGGGCGGAAGCCUGAACCAGCCAAGUAGCGUGCAGGAUGGCGGCCCUAUGGGUUGUAAACUGCUUUUAUACAGGAAUAAAGUUAGCCACGUGUGGUUAUUUGUAGGUACCGUAUGAAUAAGGACCGGCUAAUUCCGUGCCAGCAGCCGCAGUAA